Molecule: long non-coding RNA, 1154 nt
Organism: Portunus trituberculatus (swimming crab)
Lineage: Eukaryota; Metazoa; Arthropoda; Malacostraca; Decapoda; Portunidae
Exons: 3
Source: RefSeq, a predicted model, not a curated record
AAGAAGAAGAAGAAGAAGAAACAAGAAAACAACAUCAAGCAAAUAUACCAAUAAACAAACAAAAAGAAAGAAAUACAGCAAGACGUGGCUGGCCCGCCGCCUAUAUUACGUACAACGCGUGUCUCAUCCUCCUUCCUGGUCCCUGGCUGGUGUUAGGUGUCGCGCUGCAUCAAGAAGAGGUGGUCUGCUAGUGCUGGUCGCCUUUGUUGACUCGCGAGGGGAGGCUCAGCGGCCUUGCUGUGCGCACACUCAACUACAAAAGAGCUCAUGCUUUUUGUAUGUAUUCUUUUAUGCUACGAUUUAUAUUUUCCUUGUGUGUGUGUGUGUGUGUGUGUGUGUGUGUGUGUGUGUGUGUGUGUGUGUGUGUGUGUACCGGAAGUUGCCAAUCACACGACUCCGUUCAACAGUCAAACAACACGAGUAAUUCACCAUGUGGUUACCGAGGCAGAUAAGCACACCAUAAAAUACCAAAAGCUGUGUGCUCUCGACAGCCUAACCCAAUCACCAUGGAGAAUUACGACAGCUACUCACAAUGAUAGUCACACAUAACAAUUCUACAUGGCCAGGCAAACCUCAGCUACGCCACAGCCUCCCAUCCGUUAGUCUUCCGCCAUCCCAUCCAUGUCACUAGUCUAGACGCGCCCCAAGGCCAAUCUUCUAUGGUACUAUACAUAAUUCUACACCAGGAACUCGUCACUUGCAACCCACGAACGCGGCAGUGAAAGGUCGGAAGGGAAGCGAUAAAUGGCAACAGCGCCCCGUCGGCCUUGAGGCGUAGCAGAAGGUUAACAACAAUCAGUUUACAGGAGCGAUGAGUGGUGCGUAAGCCAGCAACGUGGAUUCCUGUGAGUAGAGCAACACAAGCCUUCCAGGUAGGAGAUAAGGUGGUAUGAGUACUCGGCCUCGUGCGUCACCUGUGUGGCGUGCGUGGUUCACAGUGGGCCGAGGGAGGUGCGGCUUGUUCUCGCACUCUCAUUGGUGGAGGCGGGACGGCUGAGGACAGUGGCGUGAUGGUUGUGGAGAAACCUCGCUAGUGUUUUCCGUCCUUUCUCCCUCGCCUUGGCUGCAUCGCGUCCUGGUAGCCUUUGUUACACGAAUCUUACUUCACUGAUACCCGCACUAUGAGCUUCACUGAUACACUCAUGAUAAGGUUG